RNAcentral lists this ribosomal RNA (253 nucleotides) under uncultured bacterium. RNAcentral describes it as "partial 16S ribosomal RNA". It matches the Rfam family "Bacterial small subunit ribosomal RNA", at positions 524 to 776 of the family's 1533-position model. The record is from RNAcentral.
UACGUAGGGUGCGAGCGUUAAUCGGAAUUACUGGGCGUAAAGCGUGCGCAGGCGGCGCGUUAAGACAGGUGUGAAAGCCCCGAGCUUAACUUGGGAAUUGCGCUUGUGACUGGCGAGCUGGAGUGUGGCAGAGGGAGGUGGAAUUCCACGUGUAGCAGUGAAAUGCGUAGAGAUGUGGAGGAACACCGAUGGCGAAGGCAAUCCCCUGGGCCUGCACUGACGCUCAUGCACGAAAGCGUGGGGAGCAAACAGG